RNAcentral lists this ribosomal RNA (305 nucleotides) under uncultured bacterium. Its description in RNAcentral is "bacterial SSU rRNA". It matches the Rfam family "Bacterial small subunit ribosomal RNA", at positions 334 to 637 of the family's 1533-position model. The record is from RNAcentral.
UAAUCCUACGGGACGCAGCAGUGAGGAAUAUUGGUCAAUGGGCGCAGGCCUGAACCAGCCAAGUCGCGUGAGGGAAGACUGCCCUAUGGGUUGUAAACCUCUUUUAUAAGGGAAGAAUAAUGACUACGUGUAGUCAGAUGCCCGUACCUUAUGAAUAAGCAUCGGCUAACUCCGUGCCAGCAGCCGCGGUAAUACGGAGGAUGCGAGCGUUAUCCGGAUUUAUUGGGUUUAAAGGGUGCGCAGGCGGCGAGUUAAGUCAGCGGUAAAAUUUCGGGGCUCAACCCCGACGAGCCGUUGAAACUGGG